GCGCCCAUAGCUUAAUUGGAUAGAGCAUUUGACUACGAAUCAAAAGGUUGGAGGUUCAACUCCUCUUGGGCGCG
Molecule: transfer RNA, 74 nt
Filed under: Endomicrobium sp.
Lineage: Bacteria; Pseudomonadati; Elusimicrobiota; Endomicrobiia; Endomicrobiales; Endomicrobiaceae
Description: tRNA-Arg
Rfam family: tRNA
About the family: Transfer RNA (tRNA) molecules are approximately 80 nucleotides in length. Their secondary structure includes four short double-helical elements and three loops (D, anti-codon, and T loops).
Source: RNAcentral